GUUAUUUUGGCAGAUUAGUGCGAUAGAUUUAGAAUCUUUAAAAGUGGGUAGUACCUAUAAAUAAUA
This 66-nucleotide transfer RNA is filed under the name Trigonopterus tounensis. RNAcentral's name for it is "tRNA-Leu". It matches the Rfam family "tRNA". From Rfam's summary of the family: Transfer RNA (tRNA) molecules are approximately 80 nucleotides in length. Their secondary structure includes four short double-helical elements and three loops (D, anti-codon, and T loops). The record is from RNAcentral. Lineage: Eukaryota; Metazoa; Arthropoda; Insecta; Coleoptera; Curculionidae.